GAUGAACGCUGGCGGCGUGCUUAACACAUGCAAGUCGAACGGAACUACCCCAAUGAGAGUCUUCGGACGGGUUUCGGUCUGGUUUAUAACCGGACGGUAGCGUAACGCGUGGUUAACCUUACCUUUAGAGAGGGGUAACUGUUGCCAACUACUGUUACUACCGCCUUAGCGCACAGGAGAGCAUUCCGCGGUGUGAGAAACUACGGUGGUAUAGGAUGGACCCGCGUCUGGUUAUCGGGUAGGCGGGGUUACGGCGCACCAAGGCGACGAUGAGUAGCCGGCCUGGGAGGGUGAACGGUCGCGUUGGAACUGAGACACGGACCAAUCUCCUACGGGGGGGAGCGGUGGGGAGUAUUGCAGAAUGGGGGAAACCCUGAUACAGCGACGCCGGGUGAGCGAAGAAGUAGCUCGGUAUGUAAAGCUCUAUCAGCAGAGGAGAGAAUGACGGUAACGGACUAAGAAGCCCCGGCUAACUACGUG
RNAcentral lists this ribosomal RNA (480 nucleotides) under uncultured bacterium. Its description in RNAcentral is "partial 16S ribosomal RNA". It matches the Rfam family "Bacterial small subunit ribosomal RNA", at positions 28 to 507 of the family's 1533-position model. The record is from RNAcentral.